GUGCUCACUUCGGCAGUACAUAUACUAAAAUUCGAAUGAUACAGAGAUUAGCAUAGCUCCUUCUCAAGAAUGACAUGUAAAUUCAUGAAGCGCUCUAUAUUUUA
Molecule: small nuclear RNA, 104 nt
Organism: Sorex araneus (European shrew)
Lineage: Eukaryota; Metazoa; Chordata; Mammalia; Eulipotyphla; Soricidae
Source: RefSeq, a predicted model, not a curated record